UCAAUCCGACACUCCUAGCUCAAGAUAUGAUUUUUCUCGCGAAAGCUGCUAAUGCUGAAAAUUAAAUACGAAAAUUAAAUAAGUGCAAAAAAUAAAAUAAAUUAUGAAAACACAUUAAAACAUAAAAUAAUCAAAGCAAACCGAAGAAAUACUUAAGUACAAACAUGGAAGAACGUACAUCAAAAUGCACUGAUCGAAUUCCCCCACACUUGAACUUUUGCACUCCGAGCAAAAUUGAAAACAAAACAAAACACAGACACAUCAAC
Molecule: long non-coding RNA, 266 nt
Filed under: Lathyrus oleraceus (garden pea)
Lineage: Eukaryota; Viridiplantae; Streptophyta; Magnoliopsida; Fabales; Fabaceae
Description: Pisum sativum (pea) long non-coding RNA (PSAT_LNC019054)
Source: RNAcentral